Molecule: long non-coding RNA, 2615 nt
Filed under: Ananas comosus (pineapple)
Lineage: Eukaryota; Viridiplantae; Streptophyta; Magnoliopsida; Poales; Bromeliaceae
Description: long non-coding RNA (ACOM_LNC043686)
Source: RNAcentral
AUCACAGUUCCUAUUUACAUUUUUUACUUCCAGAUUACAAUCUCAUCACAUUAGGGUUUACAAGUUUAAUACAUUUUGUUUUUCCUUGUCUUCUAGUCCCCUAAGCUAGACUGCCUCAGGGUACUUCUACCUCGGUCUCUGUGGUGGGGCGCUAUCUACUGAGCUACGCCCUCGCCUCGCGCCGCCGCGCCGCACACGAACGACCUGAAAACCCCAAAACAACGUGGGGUGAGAACCAACUCCAUGGUUCCCAGUGGGUACGGCCACCCAAGGGAAAAGCUCGACCGAUAGGUCCGAGGAGGCACUGCAACAUGUUAGUUCAACAAUAUACAACAGAUAUAUAUAUUCAAUUGAAAUACAUGCCAUGCCUCACGAUAUGCGAUAUGAAAACCAUGCAACAACUAGUAGAUCAUAUGAAUUCUACUUUUACUUGGCUACUUUAGCUCAUAACUUUACUCUAAGGUUUCUAUUACCUUAGGAUCACAACACCAACCACUGGCUUCUAAGGUUUCUAUUACCUUAGCUCAAGCCUCUAUCUCUGGCUCAUAAGGGUUCCUCUACCCUAUCAUAGCUAACCACCCGACUCGGCUUCGAGUCAAUCAUCUGCGGAUAGUCCGCGCACUGGCUGCUCAACAGCCUACCGCACUCUCUCUGACUCAGCCUCCUAGCGGCGAAAUCGUCGCACACGCUGAAGACGGCUCGAGUCACAAGACUUGACCAUCGGUGGCGAUCGCGUUGCACAUACCCAGCGUGAGCUCGAGACAUGACAUACCGUCUGGCGGCGAACGGGUCGCACCACACCCAACAACGAUCAUGUCAGACUCAGUCACCUGGAGGCACCCGCAUCGUACUUACCCAGCAUGGAUUCAGUCUACUCUGGCGGUCUGAUCCUCAAAUGGCUUAACCACUCUGGCGGCGAAAUCGUCGCACAAACGCCAGCACAAUGGUUCAAGCCCCGGGCGGUGAUCUCCAUGUGAUCGCCCCCAAUCUACCCACGGUACCAAGCUCGGCGGCGAAAUCGUCGCACGAACGCCCUAGCCUGUACCAGGGACAUCAUAAGUCCUGGGAUUCCGGAAUCCACUUACCACAGGUCGAGGGUUCAUAGCCAACCCUAUACUGUCGACCUAGCUCAAUCUAGUGGCUAUACCACUAUACUCAUCAACCUAGGUUCCAACACUCUAGGUUCUAUGUCCACAUCACUUAACCUAGAUACACUUGCUAGGUUCUUAUCAUCUUUGCCUAGAUAUCCACUUCUAGGUUUACUAGUUCAACCUAGGUUUACUAACACUAGGUUAGAUGCCACACACCUAGAUUGUUCAACUCUAGGUUUACUAACCAACCUAUGUUCUUUAACACUAGGUUAGAUGCCACUCGAUCUACCUGACAACUUAGUUGUCCAGUCAUCUCUACUCAUCCUAGAGUUAUCAUCUGGUUUAUAUACAUAUACCAUGCAUCAUGCUUUCUACUUAGCAAUUACUCUUUGCAUCAUUACUAACAUGCAUCCCUUACUUAGCAUCCUCAUCAUGCAUUAUUAUUAAUAUGCAUUUACUUCAUAUCAUGCAUUACUUAGCAUUACAUUAUUAUCAUGCAUUAUUAGCAUUAUGUAACUUGCUCACCAUGCAUUUCUACUAAGCAUUUUCAUCUAUGCAUUAUCAUUAUCAUGCAUUACUUUACAUUAGCUAGCAUUAUCUAAUGCCAUAAUCAUUAUGCUCCACUAUGCAUUGUUAUUAAUAUGCAUUUGCUCUAAGCAUUACCAUUUAUCAUGCUUUCUACUUAGCAUCUACUUUAUGCAUCUUUAUUAACAUGCAUCCUUGCUCUUGUCUACAUGCACAUGCAUCAACAUGAGAUUACAUUGCUAAGACAUAAAGGGCGACCUAGUCGCUUCGGUAAGCACAACCCACCUUUAACUCGCGUUCCGAUUGCUCGUCGACACUUGCAAUCGGCCUCCCGCGGCACUCGGCACCCGGCACGGCCCGAUACUGCAACUGCGCCUCAACCGUGCUCCGCUUCGCACCCCCGAAAAUUAUAGGUCUUCGGUUAUGUGCCACGAUGCCUCAAAUCCAUUUCCAUGAUUUUACAACGUCGCCUCGGCCCUUUCGGCGAACCCGAAGCCUAAACGUCCGUUUCUUUAAUAACUUUAUAACGGCUCGUCGGAUUACCGAACCGUCUUCGCCAACGCGUUUCGUUACCUAGCAAUUAGGUUUACGAAAGGUCAAAUGAGAUCAAACCCUUAUACUUUACAAAACCCCAAUUUGGAGCUCUAAUAUGCUACUAUUGCAAGAAUAGCCAUAUUAGCCUUUAAUUCAAGCAAAUAGCUUCUACUUAGCAUCUAGGGAGUCCUCUAAAUCCAUUUCUAGGAUAUAUAUAUUAUUCCCUAGCAAUCCACCAUUAGAGGUUCAUGAAGCUUACCUCAAACACAAGCUUCCACUUAGACCAAGGAAGGAGAAGAUAAAGAUGAAGCUUCAACUCCAAGCUACUUCAAUUUUCUUCAAGCUUGCCUCAAUUUUCUUCUCCAAUUCUCUCUUUGGUAGAGAGAUCUCUCUCUUUGGUUGUGUGCACAAGGGAAAGAGAGAAAAGGCUAAAUCCUUCAUAUAUAUAUAUAUACAUAUAGGACA